GAUGAACGCUGGCGGCGUGCCUAAUGCAUGCAAGUCGAGCGAACAGACGAGGAGCUUGCUCCUCUGACGUUAGCGGCGGACGGGUGAGUAACACGUGGAUAACCUACCUAUAAGACUGGGAUAACUUCGGGAAACCGGAGCUAAUACCGGAUAAUAUAUUGAACCGCAUGGUUCAAUAGUGAAAGACGGUUUUGCUGUCACUUAUAGAUGGAUCCGCGCCGCAUUAGCUAGUUGGUAAGGUAACGGCUUACCAAGGCAACGAUGCGUAGCCGACCUGAGAGGGUGAACGGCCACACUGGAACUGAGACACGGUCCAGACUCCUACGGGAGGCAGCAGUAGGGAAUCUUCCGCAAUGGGCGAAAGCCUGACGGAGCAACGCCGCGUGAGUGAUGAAGGUCUUCGGAUCGUAAAACUCUGUUAUUAGGGAAGAACAAAUGUGUAAGUAACUAUGCACGUCUUGACGGUACCUAAUCAGAAAGCCACGGCUAACUACGUG
This 497-nucleotide ribosomal RNA is filed under the name uncultured bacterium. RNAcentral's name for it is "partial 16S ribosomal RNA". It matches the Rfam family "Bacterial small subunit ribosomal RNA", at positions 28 to 507 of the family's 1533-position model. The record is from RNAcentral.